This 415-nucleotide long non-coding RNA is filed under the name Marmota monax (woodchuck). The record is from RNAcentral. Lineage: Eukaryota; Metazoa; Chordata; Mammalia; Rodentia; Sciuridae.
AGCCCAAAUCUAGACCUGACCUGGAGGCACAGUCUCGCAGGCUCUUGCUCCCUGUGCCCAGUAGCAGUUUGAGUCCGGGACACUCCCCAGGGCCAUCUGGGGCUGCCCAGGCACUACAGCCAGCAGAAGACACUACUGGUGUCCCUGAUGUUUGGUCAUUUCCAAGGCCAGUAACUACAAUGGUUCUCCCACACCUGGAAGCUGAUGAGUAAUGAGCACUAUUAAUGCUAUUUCAAAUGCAAAAAAACCUUGAGAUAAUGUACUAAAUUGUUCAGAAGGUUGUUUUCUUAGUAGAAUGCUACAGGAUUUUCUUUAGCCAUCCAGAGUUCCUGCCUUCGUCCCAGUGCCAGUAAAGACCAAGGUGGAAGAAUUUCCAGUGUUGCUGAAAACCAGAUGAGACUUCGGCUGAGAAAUG